UUAAGGAUUUUAAAUUUUAAAGGAAGGGGGCUGAGGGUCGAAAGGAGGAGAAAAGAGGAUUGUUGGAAAUUUUAGAAGCUUGCUUUGGAGUUUUGAAGGCCACUUAUGAAAUUUUCAUCUUUUUAUACUAAAAAUUUGAAAAAAAUUAGGUCGUGUUUUUAGAUAUCCAACAAGCUAUAGCAUGCAAAAAAUAGAGCUAUGAAGAGGGAGAUCUAAGCAAAUUUGUGAGAAGGAGAUUGCAGCAGUUUUUGGGUGGCAAAAUUCAAGACUGGUUUUAGAU
Molecule: long non-coding RNA, 280 nt
Filed under: Physcomitrium patens
Lineage: Eukaryota; Viridiplantae; Streptophyta; Bryopsida; Funariales; Funariaceae
Description: long non-coding RNA (PPAT_LNC013462)
Source: RNAcentral